Molecule: ribosomal RNA, 1386 nt
Filed under: uncultured Cantharellus
Lineage: Eukaryota; Fungi; Basidiomycota; Agaricomycetes; Cantharellales; Hydnaceae
Description: eukaryotic LSU rRNA
Rfam family: Eukaryotic large subunit ribosomal RNA (bases 743-1386)
Source: RNAcentral
AGGAUCAUUCACUGAGCAUGCAGGCCCUUGGGCUGCACAAGCUUUUUUCUUUCUUGAUCAAGGCAAUGUAUUGGAGGCGGGUUAAGGCCCCCUUCAGUUAAUGCCUUCCACCUCAAAAGUGGAUUGUGGUGAUUUGGGAUCAUCGUGUUUGGGGGGCUCAUGGUAUUGGCCAACUGUCAUGAGCUUUUUAUGUGGUUCAUCCUCAGAAUUAUGGUCAUUGAGGAUUGGGUUGUGAAAGCAAUCCGGAAUUGAGAUUGAUUGAGGGUUGGCACUCAGCAUCUUUCUCUUGCAACCAUUUAGACAAAUGGGUUAUUUACAACUUUCAGCAAUGGAUCUCUUGGUUCUCGCAUCGAUGAAGAACGCAGUGAAAUGCGAUAAUUGGUGUGAAUUGCAUCCAAGUAACUCUAAUUUACGAAUAACACCAAGUGAAUCAUCGAGUCUUUGAACGCAAUUGCGCCCUCUCGGUCGCUUCCAAUUUUUUUGGGGGGUUGACUCAUAGGGGGUACAUCUGUUUGAGGGUCAUUUAAUCUCUCAAAGGAUUGGUCAAUCUAUCCUUUGGAUUUUGGGUCUUGCUGUGAAGUGUAUUUCUCAGCUUACCUUGAAAAUAUUAGCAAGCUUUGUUUUUUGGUCAUCUCUAAUGAGGCGUUCUAAUUUUAUCCAAAGAGCCUUUAUUUUGACUACUUGCUUCUAACCAUCCCCUUGAAGGGAUAUUAUUGGUUCUCAAUGAGUUCCAAGCCUGUAUUGACCUCAAAUCAGAUGAGAAUACCCGCUGAACUUAAGCAUAUCAAUAAGCGGAGGAAAAGAAACUAACAAGGAUUCCCUCAGUAACGGCGAGUGAAGAGGGAAGAGCUCAGUUUUGAAAUCUGGCAGCAUCUUGUUGCCCGAGUUGUAAAUUGAAGAGAAUGUCAUCCACAUUGGACCAUGUCUAAAUUGUAAUCAUCCACAGUCCUUUGAUGGAGUAUCAGAGAGGGUAAUAAUCCCGUCUUUAACAUGGACUACCAGUGUUGAUGUGAUGCACUCUCUCAGAGUCGAGUAGUUUGGGAAUGCUGCUCUAAUGGGAGGUAAACUCCUUCUAAAGCUAAAUAUUGGCGAGAGACCGAUAGCGAACAAGUACCGUGAGGGAAAGAUGAAAAGAACUCUGAAAAGAGAGUCAAACAGAACGUGAAAUUGCUGAAAGGGAAGCGUUUGGAGUCAGAUGCAUCUUCAUGUUGUACUGCUCAGUUGGCAGAGACUGAGAGUGGUGACUUGAAGAUGGGCCAGCACUCACGUAGACCAUUGGAGAAGGGGUCAUGGAAUGUAGCUCAAAUUUUUUUUGAGUGUUUAUAGCCUUGAUUCGCAUACAAUGUGUCUUAUGUGAGGCUAACACACAGCACGAGUCCUUGGCUC